RNAcentral lists this ribosomal RNA (301 nucleotides) under uncultured bacterium. RNAcentral describes it as "partial 16S ribosomal RNA". It matches the Rfam family "Bacterial small subunit ribosomal RNA", at positions 509 to 807 of the family's 1533-position model. The record is from RNAcentral.
CAGUAGCCGCGGUAAUACGAGGGGGGCAAGCGUUGUUCGGAAUUAUUGGGCGUAAAGGGUGCGUAGGCGGUUUGAUAAGUCAUCUGUGAAAUCUCUGGGCUCAACCCUGGAAUGCCGGUGGAAACUGUCGAGCUCGAGUCCGGAAGAGGCAAGUGGAAUUCCUGGUGUAGCGGUGAAAUGCGCAGAUAUCAGGAGGAACACCAAUGGCGAAGGCAGCUUGCUGGGACGGUACUGACGCUGAGACGCGAAAGCGUGGGGAGCAAACAGGAUUAGAUACCCCCGUAGUCCCUGUCUCUUAUAC